Mauremys reevesii (Reeves's turtle) is the source of this 736-nucleotide long non-coding RNA. RefSeq lists it as uncharacterized. The transcript is spliced from 3 exons. Lineage: Eukaryota; Metazoa; Chordata; Testudines; Geoemydidae. The record is from RefSeq and is a predicted model, not a curated record.
GCAAUGCUCAGGGACUGCGUUGCCUGAUGUAGGUGACAGGAAGAGAGAGAGGUGGUGAGGGGAGGUCUGUGCAGGGCCUCAAGGCCCCUGAAAGGCUGCUGGAGGAGAUGCUGAGCUGCUGGGACAUGAGAAGUACCACCACCUGGAGAACCUCAUAUAUGUUGGAUCAAACUGGAUUCUCCAGGGACCAACAGACAAAGAAAGGACUUUUGUAUAAAUAGCCUGAGUUAACACUGACUCGGGGUCUGCUUUCUGAUCCAGCAAAUGGACAAGACCUUCUAUCCUGGAUAGGAGAGGCAAUCCUUCCUGUGAAGGGGUGGAAGGACUUCACCGUCUCUGAGCAAAACCUGCCUCUGAAGAGAAAGCAGAGCCGAGACACUGGGCAGGCUGGCUUGCUGGGGAUAUCACCGCAAAGGAAGGGAACUGUGUAACCUGGAUAUACCCCAGCCAGGAAGGAGAGCAACGCAGGUCUCCACCCAGGAGGGAUGACAGCUGAGGAAUCUGGAGCGAGAGUAGGUGCCCUUGGUGGACCACGGAGGGGGAAUACAGCUGCAGUUGGCCUGAACUGUGACAGUAAUUAUGAAAGACAAGAACUUUGAAGUUCCGUAGAAUUUAAGAAAAACACACUGGACUUUGCUUGCUUAUUUUCACAGCAUUGGCUCCAACAGACAGUUACUUACCCCAUAAUGGUAAAUAAGCAAGAAUAUGGUAGAGGAAAGCGGUUUAAUUCUUGUUG